Long non-coding RNA from Engraulis encrasicolus (European anchovy), 3183 nucleotides. RefSeq lists it as uncharacterized. The record is from RefSeq and is a predicted model, not a curated record. Lineage: Eukaryota; Metazoa; Chordata; Actinopteri; Clupeiformes; Engraulidae. The transcript is spliced from 4 exons.
UCUUUCUGGGUCUUUCUGGCAUUUCUCUGGUGAAUGUACGAUUUCGGUUGAUUUCGGCAAAUCAAUGGCAAAGUAGGAAUGAUGCCAGAGAUAUUCUGGCUUUUCACUGGAAUGCCACCCAAAUAACGAAAUCGGUUGUGCAGGAGGGCGGAGCUACAGUUACUUUAUGGUUCUUUCCCGGCAAGUUGGAAUAUUACCAGAAAACAUUUUGUUCAGGUGGGGGGGCUUUUUUAAAACCUAGGGCCAAGCAAAGAUGACAGCGGCCCUGCCCUACGGAGACGGUUGACACGCAUGCUCAUUUACGUGAGACCGACUUCAUCCUGGGAAUCUUUUCGGCGGGACCUUAGUCUAGUAAUGAACCAUGGACUUGAUGUACUAUCUACUGAACUAGGAUAUUGUGCUGUGUAUUUUGUAUUAAGGUAAGUAAAACGAUUGUUAUAGCCUACUUGUGCCUAAUUAUACUGCUCACUUAAUAGCUACAUUGCUCUUUGUUGUAUUUACCUGUGCUAAGAUGAGGCAACAUUUCUUGAGGUAAAUUUUCCCUUGGCUUGGAGAUAGCUAACAUCUAGCCUACGGUAUUUCAGUUGUUUGUUCAUGACUAAAUAAGACUAAGUAUUAGGUCUCUUGACAGGCGUUUCAGUACGUACUAAUUCAUGUUAUGUCAUGUCAGGGCUUUAACUUGUUUGGAGGACACGCUAUAACGACCCUAGCUAGCAUAGAUGGCAGCUAUCCUUUUCGGACAUUAGGCAAACGUCAGUGUUUAGAGCUAAUACUAGAUGACUGAUAUGCAAAGACUAUAUUCUUAAUUUAAUUCGUUGGUGUGCUGUCAUGGCCUUUGGUUUUUGUUUUCGUUUGCGAUUGUAAAUUUACACGCUUGAGACAGCCCGUUUUAGAUUUCAGCUGCCUGCUGAGGUUUGGAUUCAGAAAUUAUUUUUGUAAAAUCUCUGAUGGGCUGGCUUGGACGUUAGCGUAAUGUGGUGUUUAACGUGAGCCUGUUCAAAAUCCAUCUUGAGCGGAAUUCACCGGUGAUGGGCUUCAAAUUCCACCUGCAGCAAUGGCAGGUCACGGCUUAUUGCUUUACCCUGAGCUCUAGUUCUACAGUAUUCUCGAGUCCACAUCGCUUUACGGAUGCAAUAGUCACCCGUUUCUGAUGUCGUUAUCAGACGAAAUCAGAGGGCAGUUUGUGACAUACUUGAAAUAAUAUAUCUUUGAGGACACAAAGUAGCUGCCCUUUUUAUUAGACACAUGCACGAGGUAAUGUGAUUUACAGAAAUAUCAGAUUUGCAAUAAAAUAGUCCAUCACAUUGUACUCUUGUCACAGGAGGAUCCAUCUCACUAACACGGGUGAGGGACAGGGACCAAAGAGGAGGCUCUACAACAUGAGGACAGACUGCGAUCCUCAAGCAGUCAGUCCAUGAGCCCACGUCUUCAGGCCAGGGACCCGAGAGGAAUUUCCAGUGACAUGGAUCAACAGAGAUCCUCAAACAGUCAGUCCAUGUGCCACGUUCCAGCCAGGGACCAAAAGGGGGGCUUUCGUCAUAGGGCCAGACAGACAUCCUCAAGCAAGAAAUAGAGAGAUGCAUCCAGGCCACCCACUAGGAGGUGGAACAUCUUACGAAGAGGUGGCUGUACCUGGCAGCAGACUGAGAUGGGGUGAGGAAGAGGAGAAGCACAGACCAAGAACGGAAUGUCAGACAUUUGCCCUUUUUAUGCCCAGCGCACACACACACACACACACACACACCGGCAUAUAAACAUGCACAUAGACACAGGCGCACAUGCACACACAUACACGCACUCUCAAACAAGAUGGGAGUCUCUGGUGAUGUUGGCAAAUAAUCUGAAUCGGUACACACUGCAAUGAUUCCACCAUCAUGCCCCACCUACGCGAGUCCUGUCCUUCAGCAUUGACUUACUCCCCAGGUGUGGUGUGCCUUCAUCCGAACCACAAUGGCAUCCCAAGCAGCAACAAACACCUGCACACAUGCAUGCUACAGUACACACACAAACACACUGGACUAUGAACUAGGUCAGACACACACACACACACACACACACACACACGCUCAAAGUAGCCAAGAUCGAAAAGGCUGCAUCGGUGGCUUGACUUCAUCCAUUUUUUGGAGGAACACCUUUGUCAAUUUUGAGGAACUUUGUUGUGGGAAGAUAUUUUAAAAUUUGAUAGUCAGUCUUGUAUACCCAUUCGCUUCACUAUGAUGUAUUUUGUAAUUGAAUAUGGAUGAUUUAUGCCACAGUGCUGAAUUAACACAUCUUGACAAAGAUGUCACCUUAAAAAGUAUGUUUGGUACCUGUGGGUCAAAUGUCUCAGGAGCUCCCUGACUGCAGAACGUCUCAGGAAAGGACUCAACUUUUUAUAUUGUAUGCAGGGUGCGAUUUGUCAGAAAACCAGAAGGGGGAUGUGUUUCAGAUGUCAAGCAAUAUCAAUGGAGUUACAUUAAACUAUGAUUAAAAUCAUGUGGAAAAAGUGACAAUAUCAAAACCAGAAGAGGGGACAAUCCCCCCAUCCCCUCCUACAAUCCGCACCCUGACUGUAUGUAUUUUACAUGUUUGUCUAUAUGAUUAACACAUGAAGAGUUUAGAUGCAAAAACCCCCCAAGUGCCUUUUCAGAAAAUAAUAUUAAUUCAUUUUUAUUCAAUACAAAGCUAUCAAAAUUGCAUAUUUUUUAAAUUUUAUUUAUGUAAUGUAACUAUUUAUAUGUAUUAUCAAGUACAUGAAUGUUAACCAAACCAACAACAGGGUUUUCUAAAAAUAUAGAAGUGCAGGUCUUCUGAAAUGGAGUUAGGGGGGUUUUGCAUCUGAAUUCUUCACAUGUUCAUAGAAGAAAAUACAAUGUACGACCUCAAGGUCUUGUGUGUUUUUCUCACCGAUAUCUAAGGUUUAUGAGUUACAAAAUGUUUAUUAUUUUGUUUGUUUUCUGAAAGUUUUUUUAAAAACUCAGAGGGAUAUGUUAAGAAAGGUGUUAAUCAUUUGGUUUGUUUUUUGGAAAAUUCCAUUUAAAACAUAGGCUGUGAGUUUAAAAAAAAAAGCUAUUUUGAUAAUUUUGUGUUCUUUUCUGAAAAUUCUACUUUAAAAUGUCAUACAUUUUCAAUUUCCAAAAUCUAUUGAAUGAAUGAAUGUUGUUGUAGCCUACUAAAGAUAAUAAAUGGCCAAUUUGCAUGAUU